This 505-nucleotide long non-coding RNA is filed under the name Rattus norvegicus (Norway rat). Its description in RNAcentral is "long non-coding RNA NONRATT030868". Lineage: Eukaryota; Metazoa; Chordata; Mammalia; Rodentia; Muridae. The record is from RNAcentral.
GGCGCCCUAGCCUGCCCGCAGGCCACAGCGCUUGGAAUCCUGCCUUCCCUGCUAUCUCCCUGAGGGUGGUUUUUUGUUUGUUUAUUUCGUUUUUCGUUUUUCUGUCUGUGCCUGCUCUUUCUUGGGUGCUGGCUUCUCCAAAACCAGUCUGGAAGGUUGGAGGAGUGUUUCUCAAUGAGUCUCCACCUUACUUAUUGAGACACAGUGUGUCACUGAACCUGGAGCUCACUGACUCAACUUGACUGGGUAGCCAACAAACCCUAGGGACCCUGCUAUCCCUCAGCUUCUCCAGGAUUGUGAUUCCAUGCAUGUAUCACCGUGCCCAGGACGUUCUGACAAAUGCUCUAACAUUAAGCCAAGUGAAAUCAGCCAGUGACAAAAAUACAAAUGUUCUGAUCACACUUAACUAAGGGCUCGGGUGUGGCGCAGUUGUAGAACACUUGACUCCAUAAAGCCAUGGAUUCCAUUGUCAGCAGUGCAAAAAGAAAUAAAUGAACUUAUAUUU